RNAcentral lists this ribosomal RNA (1388 nucleotides) under Klebsiella pneumoniae. RNAcentral describes it as "bacterial SSU rRNA". It matches the Rfam family "Bacterial small subunit ribosomal RNA". The record is from RNAcentral. Lineage: Bacteria; Pseudomonadati; Pseudomonadota; Gammaproteobacteria; Enterobacterales; Enterobacteriaceae.
CAUGCAGUCGAGCGGUAGCACAGAGAGCUUGCUCUCGGGUGACGAGCGGCGGACGGGUGAGUAAUGUCUGGGAAACUGCCUGAUGGAGGGGGAUAACUACUGGAAACGGUAGCUAAUACCGCAUAAUGUCGCAAGACCAAAGUGGGGGACCUUCGGGCCUCAUGCCAUCAGAUGUGCCCAGAUGGGAUUAGCUAGUAGGUGGGGUAACGGCUCACCUAGGCGACGAUCCCUAGCUGGUCUGAGAGGAUGACCAGCCACACUGGAACUGAGACACGGUCCAGACUCCUACGGGAGGCAGCAGUGGGGAAUAUUGCACAAUGGGCGCAAGCCUGAUGCAGCCAUGCCGCGUGUGUGAAGAAGGCCUUCGGGUUGUAAAGCACUUUCAGCGGGGAGGAAGGCGUUGAGGUUAAUAACCUUGUCGAUUGACGUUACCCGCAGAAGAAGCACCGGCUAACUCCGUGCCAGCAGCCGCGGUAAUACGGAGGGUGCAAGCGUUAAUCGGAAUUACUGGGCGUAAAGCGCACGCAGGCGGUCUGUCAAGUCGGAUGUGAAAUCCCCGGGCUCAACCUGGGAACUGCAUUCGAAACUGGCAGGCUAGAGUCUUGUAGAGGGGGGUAGAAUUCCAGGUGUAGCGGUGAAAUGCGUAGAGAUCUGGAGGAAUACCGGUGGCGAAGGCGGCCCCCUGGACAAAGACUGACGCUCAGGUGCGAAAGCGUGGGGAGCAAACAGGAUUAGAUACCCUGGUAGUCCACGCCGUAAACGAUGUCGAUUUGGAGGUUGUGCCCUUGAGGCGUGGCUUCCGGAGCUAACGCGUUAAAUCGACCGCCUGGGGAGUACGGCCGCAAGGUUAAAACUCAAAUGAAUUGACGGGGGCCCGCACAAGCGGUGGAGCAUGUGGUUUAAUUCGAUGCAACGCGAAGAACCUUACCUGGUCUUGACAUCCACAGAACUUUCCAGAGAUGGAUUGGUGCCUUCGGGAACUGUGAGACAGGUGCUGCAUGGCUGUCGUCAGCUCGUGUUGUGAAAUGUUGGGUUAAGUCCCGCAACGAGCGCAACCCUUAUCCUUUGUUGCCAGCGGUUCGGCCGGGAACUCAAAGGAGACUGCCAGUGAUAAACUGGAGGAAGGUGGGGAUGACGUCAAGUCAUCAUGGCCCUUACGACCAGGGCUACACACGUGCUACAAUGGCAUAUACAAAGAGAAGCGACCUCGCGAGAGCAAGCGGACCUCAUAAAGUAUGUCGUAGUCCGGAUUGGAGUCUGCAACUCGACUCCAUGAAGUCGGAAUCGCUAGUAAUCGUAGAUCAGAAUGCUACGGUGAAUACGUUCCCGGGCCUUGUACACACCGCCCGUCACACCAUGGGAGUGGGUUGCAAAAGAAGUAGGUAGCU